CUAACAUAGUGAAAGCAAGGAGAGCAUGUAGCGGCCAUGCCCAGAGUCAUGCAAUGAACUGUCCAUAGGUCUUUGUUGAGUGAUUCAGGGUCUCCAGAGUCUUGCCACAAUGAGAGUCAUCUCUGCUAUUCUUCGGUUUUGUCCCUGAAGAAGCCACAUGAUGCCUGCCAAUCCCACUGGCUAAAUUAUUUGAACUGGAAACACACUAAUCUGUGCUUAUGAGAAUAAAGAAAGACAAGAAGCCAAGCAAUCAGAUUUAGAAGAUGUCUUUGGAUGCAUUUGAAGAUCUACAUGAUGUGCACAGCCCUGAACACAAGUUCCUGUUAUCCACCCAUCCUUACUGCCAGAGGGGCCUGAGAACAUGUUCUUCUGACCUUGGUAGUUUUCCACCAUACCUGCUCACCGGUAUAUAAGGCUCCUCUCUUG
Mesocricetus auratus (golden hamster) is the source of this 426-nucleotide long non-coding RNA. RefSeq lists it as uncharacterized. The record is from RefSeq and is a predicted model, not a curated record. The transcript has 3 exons. NCBI's taxonomy places the organism in Eukaryota, Metazoa, Chordata, Mammalia, Rodentia, Cricetidae.